ACAGCGGACGGCAACUGGCGCUGAACGUGGGCCAACCACGGGGAAGCCGCUCCGAAUUCCAUUUGAUCGCGCGCCUGGGUCGGACGU
Molecule: non-coding RNA, 87 nt
Filed under: Deinococcus marmoris
Lineage: Bacteria; Thermotogati; Deinococcota; Deinococci; Deinococcales; Deinococcaceae
Description: ZTP sequence
Rfam family: ZMP/ZTP riboswitch aptamer (pfl RNA motif)
About the family: Previously known as pfl RNA. ZMP is also known as AICAR.
Source: RNAcentral